RNAcentral lists this ribosomal RNA (1878 nucleotides) under Escherichia coli. RNAcentral's name for it is "partial 23S ribosomal RNA". It matches the Rfam family "Bacterial large subunit ribosomal RNA", at positions 144 to 2046 of the family's 2925-position model. The record is from RNAcentral. Lineage: Bacteria; Pseudomonadati; Pseudomonadota; Gammaproteobacteria; Enterobacterales; Enterobacteriaceae.
CACACUAUCAUUAACUGAAUCCAUAGGUUAAUGAGGCGAACCGGGGGAACUGAAACAUCUAAGUACCCCGAGGAAAAGAAAUCAACCGAGAUUCCCCCAGUAGCGGCGAGCGAACGGGGAGGAGCCCAGAGCCUGAAUCAGUGUGUGUGUUAGUGGAAGCGUCUGGAAAGGCGCGCGAUACAGGGUGACAGCCCCGUACACAAAAAUGCACAUAUUGUGAGCUCGAUGAGUAGGGCGGGACACGUGGUAUCCUGUCUGAAUAUGGGGGGACCAUCCUCCAAGGCUAAAUACUCCUGACUGACCGAUAGUGAACCAGUACCGUGAGGGAAAGGCGAAAAGAACCCCGGCGAGGGGAGUGAAAAAGAACCUGAAACCGUGUACGUACAAGCAGUGGGAGCCUCUUUAUGGGGUGACUGCGUACCUUUUGUAUAAUGGGUCAGCGACUUAUAUUCUGUAGCAAGGUUAACCGAAUAGGGGAGCCGAAGGGAAACCGAGUCUUAACUGGGCGUUAAGUUGCAGGGUAUAGACCCGAAACCCGGUGAUCUAGCCAUGGGCAGGUUGAAGGUUGGGUAACACUAACUGGAGGACCGAACCGACUAAUGUUGAAAAAUUAGCGGAUGACUUGUGGCUGGGGGUGAAAGGCCAAUCAAACCGGGAGAUAGCUGGUUCUCCCCGAAAGCUAUUUAGGUAGCGCCUCGUGAAUUCAUCUCCGGGGGUAGAGCACUGUUUCGGCAAGGGGGUCAUCCCGACUUACCAACCCGAUGCAAACUGCGAAUACCGGAGAAUGUUAUCACGGGAGACACACGGCGGGUGCUAACGUCCGUCGUGAAGAGGGAAACAACCCAGACCGCCAGCUAAGGUCCCAAAGUCAUGGUUAAGUGGGAAACGAUGUGGGAAGGCCCAGACAGCCAGGAUGUUGGCUUAGAAGCAGCCAUCAUUUAAAGAAAGCGUAAUAGCUCACUGGUCGAGUCGGCCUGCGCGGAAGAUGUAACGGGGCUAAACCAUGCACCGAAGCUGCGGCAGCGACACUAUGUGUUGUUGGGUAGGGGAGCGUUCUGUAAGCCUGUGAAGGUGGCCUGUGAGGGUUGCUGGAGGUAUCAGAAGUGCGAAUGCUGACAUAAGUAACGAUAAAGCGGGUGAAAAGCCCGCUCGCCGGAAGACCAAGGGUUCCUGUCCAACGUUAAUCGGGGCAGGGUGAGUCGACCCCUAAGGCGAGGCCGAAAGGCGUAGUCGAUGGGAAACAGGUUAAUAUUCCUGUACUUGGUGUUACUGCGAAGGGGGGACGGAGAAGGCUAUGUUGGCCGGGCGACGGUUGUCCCGGUUUAAGCGUGUAGGCUGGUUUUCCAGGCAAAUCCGGAAAACCAAGGCUGAGGCGUGAUGACGAGGCACUACGGUGCUGAAGCGACAAAUGCCCUGCUUCCAGGAAAAGCCUCUAAGCAUCAGGUAACAUCAAAUCGUACCCCAAACCGACACAGGUGGUCAGGUAGAGAAUACCAAGGCGCUUGAGAGAACUCGGGUGAAGGAACUAGGCAAAAUGGUGCCGUAACUUCGGGAGAAGGCACGCUGAUAUGUAGGUGAAGCGACUUGCUCGUGGAGCUGAAAUCAGUCGAAGAUACCAGCUGGCUGCAACUGUUUAUUAAAAACACAGCACUGUGCAAACACGAAAGUGGACGUAUACGGUGUGACGCCUGCCCGGUGCCGGAAGGUUAAUUGAUGGGGUUAGCGGUAACGCGAAGCUCUUGAUCGAAGCCCCGGUAAACGGCGGCCGUAACUAUAACGGUCCUAAGGUAGCGAAAUUCCUUGUCGGGUAAGUUCCGACCUGCACGAAUGGCGUAAUGAUGGCCAGGCUGUCUCCACCCGAGACUCAGUGAAAUUGAA